Vicugna pacos (alpaca) is the source of this 2046-nucleotide non-coding RNA. The record is from RefSeq and is a predicted model, not a curated record. Lineage: Eukaryota; Metazoa; Chordata; Mammalia; Artiodactyla; Camelidae.
AGGCAGUUGGGACAGAUGCCACGGUCCUAGGCAUUGCAAAAGAGAUUCCUUUGUUAGGCAGCCUGAUGUGAUGACUUACUGUUGAGUUUCACUGGCAAGAGGGAGGAUGUGAUGAGGGGACAGGACCAACAAAAGGAGGUCUGGCUGUAUGUUCAGGCCUACAGCCAGGAAGGCAGUACCCAGAAGCUGGUCAGCAGUGGUGAAAGGCAGUUGGUGCUAUUUUGCAGAACAGUGAAUUUGAGAACAUGGGCUCCAAAAGCCAGAUGGACCGGGGUUUAAAAUCCACCUUCAACACUUAACUACCUGUAUGACUUUCGGCAAGAUGCUUAACUUCUCUUAAGCCUUAGUUUCUUCAUCUGUAAAAAUGAGAAUAAUAAUAGUACCUACUUCGUGGGCUUGUUGUGAUUAAAUGUAGUCUAUGGAGCAACCCGGCAAAAGAUCCAGGUUUUGGCCUGUGAACCUGGGCCUGACUGCGGGUUCAGGGCAUACAAAGGGCUAUUCCUCCCUAGGCCUGAGCAAUGGGAGGGCUCUGCUUUGGUGAUAGAUUCUGGGGGCAGCUGUUCUGGGAAUAGGGCUCUGAGAGGGUUGACAAAGAAAGGGCUAUGUUCUGCCCCAGAUAUCAUGAUUAGGGCCCCAUGAGAGCAGCUCUAGUGCUUCCAGGCCUUUGGUUUAGAGGGAAUUUCCACUCAAGGGCCCAGGUAUGGACAGAGAGACCAGAAACAGGACCACUGGCUCAUGACUUCCCACCUGCUCCUGAGGGAGCAGGGUAUAUUUCUGUAGGCUAAGUGGGGGCUGUCUGAAAGAAAGGGUGAUCUUGGCUGGGGCACGUUGCCCUGCAAGGUCACUGUGCUUGACUUUGACCCAGGGCACAUACUGGGCUCUGAAGAAACUAGCUGGGGGUAGAGAAUUAGACUCCAUUUCCUGCAGUCCUGCUGGCGUCUGGGCCCUGACCAACGUAGGACUCCCGUCCUCUUGGGUUCAGGACCCUCCGGAACUUUCCCUAGAUGUAUCCUAGGUGCCUGUCUGCGGUUCCCUUCCUGCUGGGGCAACUGAUGCUGAGAGUGGGCGCGCAGGUCAAAACCGGAGAGAACCAGACUAUACCACUCACUGGAGAGCUCACGCGUCCGAGAGGCGAGGCGGUGACGCCUCUCCCAACACGUCUGCCUUCUGUAAUAACAAGGUCAGCAAAGGUGGAGGCAGGGGCUCUGGAGGGCCGAAGAGUCGAACUCUCGGAGACACGCAACUUUGUUAGUUCUGAGCCUAGGCUGACGGCUACCUGAGGAGCACUCAGCCUUUCCCGAAAUCCUGACCCUGGUCCCGUCCCCUCCUGCUCCCCUCUCCCUCCACCUCCCCGCCUCCAGUUCCUCGGACCCCUUCCCCUCUUCACCUGCUCUGGACGCCCCGCAACUCACAUCUCUCAGGCCCCACCCCCUCGGACCCGCCCUCCAUAGGCUCCCUCCUGUUCCGUUCCUCAGAAAGCGGCUCCCGGAACUCCCGCCUUUCUGGCCCCGCCCCUCCCGAGCUCCCUCGGCGUUUACCUCUCCCGGAGGCGCCACCGGAAGUACGCUCCUUUCUAGCCUUGGCUCUGCCCCGCCCCCGCGUGACUCCGUUCCUCUCCUUCAGCCCUUGAAGUUUUAUAAGGGUGGCCGGAAGACCUCAGAGAAGCCAUGGCAACAAAGGGCCUUGUGCUCCGUAUAGCAGAGCAUCCUGCUUUUGUCCGAUCCAGCCCAAUGUGUCAGUCUCUGCAAACAACAAAAGAUGUGGCACCCAGCUGCCUGUCCCUGCCCCCACCAGAGCAUCAAGAAAGGCUGAGGACUCUCCGACUGGAACCAAGCUAGGAGAGCAGCAGACAGAGCUCUGACAUGGAGUGCCAGCAGUAAUCUUUUAUCUUUGAAGAUAGUAGCUGCAUAAAGAACGAUGAAGCAGAAAAAUAUUAGAAGCCUAGUUCAAGAUGACUUUCUGUGGCAUACCAGUCUUGGACUGCCUGUCUCUGGAAUUCUCUUAUGUGGAAGAAUAAAUUUGUGCAAGCCACCUUAGUUAGAUCUC